Long non-coding RNA from Zonotrichia leucophrys gambelii, 508 nucleotides. RefSeq lists it as uncharacterized. Lineage: Eukaryota; Metazoa; Chordata; Aves; Passeriformes; Passerellidae. The record is from RefSeq and is a predicted model, not a curated record. The transcript has 2 exons.
GAGCCUGGGAGGACCUGGGAGAACCUGGGGACAACCUGGGAGAACCUGGGAGAACCUGGGGACAACCUGGGAGAACCUCAGGACAAUGCUGGGAGAAGUUUUGGGGUCUCCAUGGGUUCCUCCCACCCCAGAGACUCCAUAACUGCAUCUGAGAACCUGGGAGAACCUGGGAGAACCUGGGGACAACCUGGGAGAACCUGGGAGAACCUCAGGACAAUGCUGGGAGAAGUUUUGGGGUCUCCGUGGGUUUGUGAGCCCCCAGAGACCCCAGAACCACGUCAAGAUUCCUUCCAGAAGGUCCCACAUUGGUUCUUCCAAACCCCCCUGAGAUGUGGCCACCACAAAUUUCCCGUGUCCUUGACAUCCCACCAGAAUUUUUGAGGUGUCCAUGGGUUCCUCACCCCCCAGAGACCCCAUAAUGACAUCAGGAGCUGUUCCAGAGUGUCCCCAUGGUUCUCCACAAACCCCCCUGAGAUGUGGCCACCACAAAUUCCCACCCUUCCCCUCA